Paramuricea clavata is the source of this 439-nucleotide non-coding RNA. The record is from the annotation of a GenBank genome assembly. Lineage: Eukaryota; Metazoa; Cnidaria; Anthozoa; Malacalcyonacea; Plexauridae.
UAUCUUUCUAUGUAUAAAUAAAAUUAGCAACAUGGUCUAUAUUGCCAGAAAUUUCCAAAUUUUAUGCAUUUCCUGGAGGAAGUUGCUUGAAGUUGCUGAUAUCAUAAAAAGUUGCUCCAAAUGCAAAAAGUUGCCGAGCAUAAUCUGUAGAAGCCUAUUGUCAAUUGGUUCAAGAAACUUUUGCAUAUUUAAUUAAACCACAUAGCAAUUCUAUUGUGAAUAUGAUUGAAUGCUGAUUGAACAGCUGAACACUUAAAUUUGACAUACUAUAUAUUCAGUCUCAGCUGCAUGUAUGUUAAGGACUCAAAUGCAAUUUACCCGGACGCAAAAAGCGUCAUCUGGAUACGUAAUCAUGCAACAGUGCCAAAUCUUUGAUCUUUGAGGAUCACUCAUAUAUACUAUGGCAAAUACUUAUAUUGUAGUAAAUAUAGAAACGAGU